RNAcentral lists this ribosomal RNA (440 nucleotides) under uncultured bacterium. RNAcentral describes it as "partial 16S ribosomal RNA". It matches the Rfam family "Bacterial small subunit ribosomal RNA", at positions 338 to 795 of the family's 1533-position model. The record is from RNAcentral.
CCUACGGGAGGCAGCAGUGGGGAAUAUUGCACAAUGGGGGAAACCCUGAUGCAGCGACGCCGCGUGAGCGAUGAAGUCUUUCGGUAUGUAAAGCUCCAUUAGCAGGGAAGAAAAUGACGGUACCUGACUAAGACUCCCCGGCUAACUACGUGCCAGCAGCCGCGGUACUACGUAGGGGGCAAGCGUUAUCCGGAUUUACUGGGUGUAAAGGGAGCGUAGACGGCGGGGCAAGCCAGAUGUGAAAGCCCGGGGCUCAACCCCGGGACUGCAUUUGGAACUGUAUAGCUGGAGUGUAGGGGAGGCAGGCGGAAUGCCUGGUGUAGCGGUGAAAUGCGUAGAUAUUAGGCAGAACACCAGUGGCGAAGGCGGCCUGCUGGACGAUGACUGACGUUGAGGCUCGAAAGCGUGGGGAGCAAACAGGAUUAGAUACCCCUGUAGUC